Molecule: non-coding RNA, 331 nt
Organism: Heterocephalus glaber (naked mole-rat)
Lineage: Eukaryota; Metazoa; Chordata; Mammalia; Rodentia; Bathyergidae
Source: Rfam
GGAUGUGAGGGCACUCUAACUGCAACAUCUAUUACCCCAUUGAUUGCCAGUGCUGAUUGGCUGACCUGGCUGGCUAGGCAGUGUCUCCUUCCUUCCUCACUGCUCCAUUGUGCCUCCCUCCUGAAGCUGUGGGUUGGGUUGAAGAGGACGACCACCCCCCGACAGAGCAAGACCAUUUCCUUGGCCAAGGGUAUACAGGUAGCUGUGCAUUCUUGCUUAGAACCACCAAGCAAGGUCUCAAGAAUACUGUUUUUAUUUUGAUUGGUAUUGUAUUUUAUCUAUAUAUCACUUUUGAAAGUAUAUCCAUUUUAACAAUAUUGGUUUUGCCUAU